CAAUAGCGUAUAUUAAAGUUGUUGCGGUAAAAAAGCUCGUAGUUGGAUUUCUACCGAAGAUAGCCGGUCGGGUCUUCGACCUUGUAUCUGGUUUUGUCUUUGGUAUCCUCAUAGGGAACGUGUCUGCGCUUUAUUGCGUGGUGCGGUAUCUAUGACUUUUACUUUGAGGAAAUUAGAGUGUUCACGGCAGGCAAACGCCUUGAAUAUAUUAGCAUGGAAUAAUAACAUAGGAUCUUCGUCCUAUUUUGUUGGUUUCUAGGGCUAAGAUAAUGAUUAAUAGGGAUAAUUGGGGGCAUCUGUAUCAACGCGUCAGAGGUGGAAUUCUUGGAUUGCGUUGCGACAAACUACUGCGAAAGCAUUUGCCAAGGAUGUUUUCAUUGA
This 381-nucleotide ribosomal RNA is filed under the name uncultured eukaryote. Its description in RNAcentral is "partial 18S ribosomal RNA". It matches the Rfam family "Eukaryotic small subunit ribosomal RNA", at positions 592 to 976 of the family's 1831-position model. The record is from RNAcentral.